CCCUUAGAUGUUCUGGGCUGCACGCGCGCUACACUGAUGCGUUCAACGAGUGUACAUCCUGGCCCGGUAGGGUUGGGUAAUCUUUUGAAAACGCUUCGUGAUGGGGAUAGAUUAUUGCAAUUAUUAAUCUUCAACGAGGAAUUCCUAGUAAGCGCGAGUCAUCAGCUCGUGUUGAUUACGUCCCUGCCCUUUGUACACACCGCCCGUCACUCCUACCGAUUGAGUGAUCCGGUGAAUAAUUCGGACUGCAGCACUGCUUGGUCUCCAGGCUUUGCAGCGGAAAGUUUAGUGAACCUUAUCACUUAGAGGAAGGAGAAGUCGUAACA
RNAcentral lists this ribosomal RNA (326 nucleotides) under uncultured eukaryote. Its description in RNAcentral is "partial 18S ribosomal RNA". It matches the Rfam family "Eukaryotic small subunit ribosomal RNA", at positions 1470 to 1796 of the family's 1831-position model. The record is from RNAcentral.